UGGGGAAUCUUAGACAAUGGGCGCAAGCCUGAUCUAGCCAUGCCGCGUGAGCGAUGAAGGCCUUAGGGUUGUAAAGCUCUUUCAGGGGGGAAGAUAAUGACUGUACCCCCAGAAGAAGCCCCGGCUAACUCCGUGCCAGCAGCCGCGGUAAUACGGAGGGGGCUAGCGUUGUUCGGAAUUACUGGGCGUAAAGCGCACGUAGGCGGACUGGAAAGUCAGAGGUGAAAUCCCAGGGCUCAACCUUGGAACUGCCUUUGAAACUCCCGGUCUUGAGGUCGAGAGAGGUGAGUGGAAUUCCGAGUGUAGAGGUGAAAUUCGUAGAUAUUCGGAGGAACACCAGUGGCGAAGGCGGCUCACUGGCUCGAUACUGACGCUGAGGUGCGAAAGCGUGGGGAGCAAACAGG
Molecule: ribosomal RNA, 404 nt
Filed under: Variovorax paradoxus
Lineage: Bacteria; Pseudomonadati; Pseudomonadota; Betaproteobacteria; Burkholderiales; Comamonadaceae
Also listed under: 2 other names
Description: partial 16S ribosomal RNA
Rfam family: Bacterial small subunit ribosomal RNA
Source: RNAcentral